GAGGUUCAGGGCCGCGAGGGACUGGGAGGUCGAAACCAGCUGGAACUUGGUCAUUAACAGGGGAGUGGCCGCCCCCGGGGUGGCCUCGCCAGGAAGCAGGAAGCGGUACAGGGUUUGGGAUGGAGCCUGAGAAUGUGCUUUUCUGAUAAGUUCACAUGUGGUGCUGAUAAUGUUGGUCCAUGGACUUCACUUUGAGAACCACUUGGCCAACUGCUGUAGCCGAUAGCUCCAAGAGAGUCCCGCAGCCCCAAGGUGAAAUUGGUACAAUAGGGAAGCAGCAGAAGGUCCUGACAUCUGAGUGCCUCAGGCUCACCAUUGAACUACUGCUGACAAGUGGCCAGCUACUAUUUGGCCAUAUGACUGAAUUUCAGCCAACAGAGUGUGAGAAGAAACCAAGGUAUUAUUUCCAAACUAAGAAUCUUAAGCACUAGGUGAGCCUUCACCGUACUGUUUCCUUCCCAUUGGCUUGUUGCAGAAGACGCUGAGACCCUAAGGGAUGACAGAACUACAAAACAGAGGCUUUCGUGGCCCUGAAACACUGUGUGAACGAAAGCUGCCCAGAGACUAGAAAUUCUCACCUUGAUAGUUAUGGGAAAGAAAAAUAAAGUUGUAUUAAUAAAAGCCAUUAAAAUUUGUUAUAGGAGCUAUCAUCAGCCAAACUAAUCAAUUCUGGAAAGGUUGGGCAGGAAGCAUAAGUAAAAGUUCAUACACUGUGCGGAAGAGAUUGGGUUUGAUCUUGGAGACUGGAUUGAAGUAUGAUAUAAUUUUAAGUAUGAAAAAGACACUAUUAGGCUCUUGUUUUAGAAAGACUGAAUUGUGACAGGGAGAAGAAUGAUUUGUAGAGUAGGAGAAGAAAGGAGAUCAUCUUAGUGACAAAGAUACUAUCCUGAAAAAAAUAGUGAGAUGGUGUUUAGUGAAGUUGGAAAGGAGGAGAUGAAUUCCAAGGAUGGGAAAAAAAAAAAUAAAAGGACAGGUGCUGCUUGGUGACUACAGAUUUUGGGGAGAGAAAGGGAAGGGGAUUAUUUCCCGUUGCCUUUGGGGGAAUGGGGAAUGUCUCCAUUUUGAACAAUUGGAUAGAUGCUAGUGCAUACGUAUAGACAUCAGAGAAUGAGAAUAGGAGUAGAGUUUAGCUAGAUUUGUUGAGUGUGAGAUGGCUGUGGGACGUCAAAGUAGAGACAAUGGGUAGGUAGUUAAGGUAGAUAGUUAAGACAUUCCUCCCUACCUGUUGAGAGAACUUGAAAUAUGCACAGUAAUUGAUGUUAUAGAAACACCCACACCACUGAGUUUGCAGCAUGAGGAAUGGGUCAAGGAUGGAAAUGAGACACUGGUAUUUAAUGAGUGUGGGUACUGUAUCCUUCCCUUAAAGAAACUGAAAGGGAGGAAGGACAAAGAGCGCAAUGUAA
Molecule: non-coding RNA, 1403 nt
Organism: Delphinapterus leucas (beluga whale)
Lineage: Eukaryota; Metazoa; Chordata; Mammalia; Artiodactyla; Monodontidae
Source: RefSeq, a predicted model, not a curated record